CUCCUACGGGAGGCAGCAGUGAGGAAUAUUGGUCAAUGGGCGCUAGCCUGAACCAGCCAAGUAGCGUGAAGGAUGAAGGCUCUAUGGGUCGUAAACUUCUUUUAUAUAAGAAUAAAGUGCAGUAUGUAUACUGUUUUGUAUGUAUUAUAUGAAUAAGGAUCGGCUAACUCCGUGCCAGCAGCCGCGGUAAUACGGAGGAUCCGAGCGUUAUCCGGAUUUAUUGGGUUUAAAGGGAGCGUAGGUGGACUGGUAAGUCAGUUGUGAAAGUUUGCGGCUCAACCGUAAAAUUGCAGUUGAUACUGUCAGUCUUGAGUACAGUAGAGGUGGGCGGAAUUCGUGGUGUAGCGGUGAAAUGCUUAGAUAUCACGAAGAACUCCGAUUGCGAAGGCAGCUCACUGGACUGCAACUGACACUGAUGCUCGAAAGUGUGGGUAUCAAACAGGAUUAGAUACCCUGGUAGUCCACACAGUAAACGAUGAAUACUCGCUGUUUGCGAUAUACAGUAAGCGGCCAAGCGAAAGCAUUAAGUAUUCCACCUGGGGAGUACGCCGGCAACGGUGAAACUCAAAGGAAUUGACGGGGGCCCGCACAAGCGGAGGAACAUGUGGUUUAAUUCGAUGAUACGCGAGGAACCUUACCCGGGCUUAAAUUGCAGUGGAAUGAUGUGGAAACAUGUCAGUGAGCAAUCACCGCUGUGAAGGUGCUGCAUGGUUGUCGUCAGCUCGUGCCGUGAGGUGUCGGCUUAAGUGCCAUAACGAGCGCAACCCUUAUCUUCAGUUACUAACAGGUCAUGCUGAGGACUCUGGAGAGACUGCCGUCGUAAGAUGUGAGGAAGGUGGGGAUGACGUCAAAUCAGCACGGCCCUUACGUCCGGGGCUACACACGUGUUACAAUGGGGGGUACAGAAGGCAGCUAGCGGGUGACCGUAUGCUAAUCCCAAAAGCCUCUCUCAGUUCGGAUCGAAGUCUGCAACCCGACUUCGUGAAGCUGGAUUCGCUAGUAAUCGCGCAUCAGCCACGGCGCGGUGAAUACGUUCCCGGGCCUUGUACACACCGC
RNAcentral lists this ribosomal RNA (1056 nucleotides) under uncultured bacterium. RNAcentral's name for it is "bacterial SSU rRNA". It matches the Rfam family "Bacterial small subunit ribosomal RNA", at positions 336 to 1393 of the family's 1533-position model. The record is from RNAcentral.